CCCUGCGGCACUCUAUAAUGCAGUCGAGCGGACAGAUGGGAGCUUGCUCCCUGAUGUUAGCGGCGGACGGGUGAGUAACACGUGGGUAACCUGCCUGUAAGACUGGGAUAACUCCGGGAAACCGGGGCUAAUACCGGAUGCUUGUUUGAACCGCAUGGUUCAAACAUAAAAGGUGGCUUCGGCUACCACUUACAGAUGGACCCGCGGCGCAUUAGCUAGUUGGUGAGGUAAUGGCUCACCAAGGCAACGAUGCGUAGCCGACCUGAGAGGGUGAUCGGCCACACUGGGACUGAGACACGGCCCAGACUCCUACGGGAGGCAGCAGUAGGGAAUCUUCCGCAAUGGACGAAAGUCUGACGGAGCAACGCCGCGUGAGUGAUGAAGGUUUUCGGAUCGUAAUGCUCUGUUGUUAGGGAAGAACAAGUGCCGUUCAAAUAGGGCGGCACCUUGACGGUACCUAACCAGAAAGCCACGGCUAACUACGUGCCAGCAGCCGCGGUAAUACGUAGGUGGCAAGCGUUGUCCGGAAUUAUUGGGCGUAAAGGGCUCGCAGGCGGUUUCUUAAGUCUGAUGUGAAAGCCCCCGGCUCAACCGGGGAGGGUCAUUGGAAACUGGGGAACUUGAGUGCAGAAGAGGAGAGUGGAAUUCCACGUGUAGCGGUGAAAUGCGUAGAGAUGUGGAGGAACACCAGUGGCGAAGGCGACUCUCUGGUCUGUAACUGACGCUGAGAGCGAAAGCGUGGGGGAGCGAACAGGAUUAGAUACCCUGGUAGUCCACGCCGUAAACGAUGAGUGCUAAGUGUAGGGGGUUUCCGCCCCUUAGUGCUGCAAGCUACGCAUAAGCACUCGGCUGGGGGAGUACGGUCGCCAAGACUGAAAUCUCAAAGGAUUGACGGGGCCCGCACAAGCGGGAGGAGCCAUGGUGUUCUAUUCGGAGCACGCGCGAGGAG
RNAcentral lists this ribosomal RNA (949 nucleotides) under Bacillus atrophaeus. RNAcentral describes it as "bacterial SSU rRNA". It matches the Rfam family "Bacterial small subunit ribosomal RNA", at positions 34 to 968 of the family's 1533-position model. The record is from RNAcentral. Lineage: Bacteria; Bacillati; Bacillota; Bacilli; Caryophanales; Bacillaceae.